This is a long non-coding RNA of Heterocephalus glaber (naked mole-rat), 1478 nucleotides long. Lineage: Eukaryota; Metazoa; Chordata; Mammalia; Rodentia; Bathyergidae. The record is from Ensembl.
GUUGUGAUGCAACAACAAACAACCCCAUAUUCUCAUAACAAAAGAUAUUUAUCUUUUGUUCAUAUUGUGUACAUCAUGAAUUGGCUGCUAUUUCAUGCAGACCCAAGGAAUAGGCCCUGUUUGGUACAUGGAGGUGUCACAGUGAAGGAAAAGAGCAAAGGUGGAAAGAUCAGAUGGCUCUUUGGUUCUGCUUGGAAUUGGUACAUAUCGCCUAUGCUCACCCUCUAUUAGCCAGUGGAAGUCAAUGGCCAAGGCAAAUUGCAAAUUCCUUUUAUAAGCUCCACAGGCACAGGGAGCAAAUAUUCUAGACAACAGUAUAGGCUGUUUAAAGGAGUCUGUCUUUGCCCUCAAAGUCAUGACCCUCAGAGCCAGGGGCUUGGCCUUGAAUCAUUACCUUUUCAAGAAGUUUUUGUCAAGACACAAAGGAAGACCAUACAGAGAAAGAGUUAAAGAGGGAAAAUUGUUGGAUUCUGAUAACUGGCUUGAUGAGCAGCAGGGGUGGAUGCUAAUAAAGUCCAAGAGAAAACAGAAGUUCAGGGGCGACUUCUAAGAUCCCACCUUGGGCGAUUGAUGAAUAAGAGUAGCUACAAUUGAGGAAACUGUUAAACAGGAUCCAAGCCCUUUGCCUCCACAGCCCACACUGUAACCACUUCUGCUGCUCUUAGUGGAGCUAUCGAGAGAAUGAGGCAGCAUGGAUGGAAAGAAAAGAGAAGAGCCGAGCCUGGGUCAGGGUUUUAAAUAUUCAUAUUAAGAACAUGAUGGUGGGCCGGGGAUUUAGCUCAGUGGUUCCACCACCUGCUCCACAAGCGCAAGGUCCCGAGUUCCAUCCCCGGUACCAAAAAAAAAGAAAGAAGACAAAUGAAGACCUCAGAGUGUAUCACCCUCAAAAGUCAAGUGUGCAGUGUGGACUCCAGUCAGGGACAGCAGGGUGCUCCGAGGGCACAGCUGGGAAAGGUCCACUGGUGUUGACAGUUGCUGCAGAAGGGGCUGCUGUUGCGAGGUCGCAGCUUGCUGGUCAGGCCUGGUCCAGCCUUACAGUGCCUGCUGUCAAGCACAAGCUCGCUGUCUUCAGCAUCUGCCCAGUUACCAUGCUUUUAAAUCCAGCUCCUAAGUCUGAGGUUUACAUCUGGGAGUGGGAAGACAUUUAUGUAAACGGGACUUCUCAUUGCUGCUGGAAAAGGAGAAUGCUGGAGAGUAGCCCAACGACUGCCCGGAAACCUACACUGUGGACACCGCUAGGAGUCUCAAAACCCUGACAGACCAACAGGCAGGAGCUCUCGCUAUGUGAAGGGUGGCCACUCUUCACUCCAGCGUCAGAGAAGACAGAAACCCAGAUCUGCCUCGAGCUUAGCAACCUGACUGGAAUGAACUGGUAUUAUGGAACCCCUGUGAAGUGAGGGUACCAGAAUCCUCAGCGUCUCUGUAUUUGUGUUAGGUUGGAGUCUGCACCCAUAGGUCCCCUCUGGUGGCCACAUCCC